RNAcentral lists this ribosomal RNA (253 nucleotides) under uncultured bacterium. RNAcentral describes it as "partial 16S ribosomal RNA". It matches the Rfam family "Bacterial small subunit ribosomal RNA", at positions 524 to 776 of the family's 1533-position model. The record is from RNAcentral.
UACGUAGGGUGCGAGCGUUGUCCGGAAUUACUGGGCGUAAAGAGCUCGUAGGUGGUUUGUCGCGUUGUUCGUGAAAUCUCACGGCUUAACUGUGAGCGUGCGGGCGAUACGGGCAGACUUGAGUACUGCAGGGGAGACUGGAAUUCCUGGUGUAGCGGUGAAAUGCGCAGAUAUCAGGAGGAACACCGGUGGCGAAGGCGGGUCUCUGGGCCGAAAUUGACGCUGAGGAGCGAAAGCGUGGGGAGCAAACAGG